CAACGGAAGGGCUUGGUCUCCCGGAUACCCGGAUAGAAGCCAACUUUUGUGAUAAAGUUCCUUUCCGGACCCAUUUGGAAGGAUGCGAAAGAGCUGCAGAUGCCGUACCAGGAAGCGGUGCCAGUGAGAAGCAAGAUUCGGAUGCA
Molecule: long non-coding RNA, 146 nt
Organism: Culex quinquefasciatus (southern house mosquito)
Lineage: Eukaryota; Metazoa; Arthropoda; Insecta; Diptera; Culicidae
Exons: 2
Source: RefSeq, a predicted model, not a curated record